GUUUGUCAUUUGAUAUUGAAAAUAUUUACAUGCUUGAAAAUAAAUAUUUGAAAGUUCAAUUGCAACUUUUUCAUAGAUUGAUUUGGCUACUGUUGACUUUGCCUCCACUGCAACAAUAGUGUGUGUGUGUUUUCCACCAUGAAAAUUGUAUUGAGAAAGACAUUGCUAGUUAAUUUGACGUUGAUUCAGUUAUAGAAUUGUGGAUUAUCAUACUUUUGUUUUCAAAGAAGUUGUGCUCUCAUGCGAAGUUGUGUUUUCUAUUUGUGGAUUGAAGUGAAUUAAAUUUCAAAGAAUUUUUGUUGAUUUUUUUUUUUUUUUUUUGAGGUAGACC
This 331-nucleotide unclassified non-coding RNA is filed under the name Hevea brasiliensis (rubber tree). Lineage: Eukaryota; Viridiplantae; Streptophyta; Magnoliopsida; Malpighiales; Euphorbiaceae. The record is from RNAcentral.